ACACCUACAUGGCUGCUGGCUGGCGAAUUUGAGGUGCCCGACGGAGGAAAUCACAAGUGCGCGCUGAGCGUUUUCGUUCGUGGGAGAAUUCGGGCCGUAUCAGCCACAACUCCGGAACACUAACAUCACUAUUUGCAUUGGCACCUUUCUUGCUGUUUCGCGCAUGAGAAGCACUGUUCAUUACCGUCGUUAUUUCUCUAUGGCACCGGUGGUGUCUAUUCCGUCGCGCCGCGGGAAUGUGGGCGGGGCAGUGGCAUUGCUCCCCCUCCUUCUUUUGCUUAUGCUCUGCCUCGCGUGCAUCGCCUCUUCUCCCGCCGUCGCCGCGGAGGAGCUAAAGCUCAGCUGCUCCUACUGCCAGGAACGCGGAUACCCCUACCUGUGUCACGCUACAAUGGAGAGCGGCACCUGCUUCAGCAACGCAGGUGAGAUUAACUGCAACGGCGCGAAGGGUUGUACGUGCUGCCGCUUGGCGGACGCGGCUGGUUGUACAUUCUGCAGUAUGGAAGCUGAGUGGGACACUUACGACGACGGUGAAGAGGACAUUUGAGCGUGUGUUUUACGCGCCAUCUGUCGCACCUUUCUCUUUCUCGUGGUGCGCAUGUGUGGAGUGUAUGUGUAUGUGUCUACGUGUAUGUAAUGCACAGAAUUGUGGCCUCUCCGUUUGGGCUGACAGUUGGCCAGCAACAUAAGCAACUAAACAGACUUCGAGGUGGUGCACUACCAGCACCAGCACAAGCGGUGGGCGAAAAAGGUAUCUUUGCCUCUACCAUUCGUGAAAGACCUCAAGCCCCCGCGGCGCUCUCUCUCCUUUUCGAGGGGAGGAGAGUCAUGGACACGUGGUUUGUUUACAUACCUUUCACAUGUAUGUAGCAUGGUGUAUUCGUUUUGUUUUUAUUUCUCAUCUUCAUCUGAUCCCUAAUGACGGGGGACACCUCAGCGUGGUGACCGGGUCACGUGCAUACCGGCGCAGGGAAGUCCGAGCGAAUUAUCGCUGCGGAUGUCCGCGGCCAGGCCCUGGAUGGCGCCGCGUCGGUGCGCGCGGCGACAGUGCACACAUUUGUGUCAUCCAUAUGUUAAGCAAGGUGUCGGCGUGACUCUAACGUACCCCACCUGGCCCUCGCACUGCCUACUGGUGGUGGGGAGCCUAAGCCACUCCGUGUGAUGCGCCAGGUGGCGGCCCGCGAGGCGGGGGUGGGUGGGUAGAGUCUGAGGCAGAGGCCGUGCUCCGAUGACUGGGCCGGCAUUGCACUAGCGAGUGUGUGUCUCCCGCUGCAGUGCGCCAGGCGAUGGGGCCUGUGACAGACAGGGGAUAGAGUGGAGCCCGACUCAUGUUGUAUUGGUAGAGAGUGGACACGCUGCAAAGGAAGCAGACGAUAAAAAGGGGCCCUCAUCUCGUGCUCUCACCGCCGCUCUCCCGUGUACUUUUUCCUCUCCCUGCCCAUCGCCUCUGUCUCAUUUCAUCACUUUUUUUUUGGAAUGUGUCUUUGUGUGCAUUUUGUACGCGAGGAG
This 1509-nucleotide unclassified non-coding RNA is filed under the name Leishmania donovani. RNAcentral describes it as "gene:unknown". Lineage: Eukaryota; Euglenozoa; Kinetoplastea; Trypanosomatida; Trypanosomatidae. The record is from RNAcentral.